GAUGAAGAACGUAGCGAAAUGCGAUACGUAAUGUGAAUUGCAGAAUUCAGUGAAUCAUCGAAUCUUUGAACGCACAUUGCGCCCGCCAGUAUUCUGGCGGGCAUGCCUGUUCGAGCGUCAUUUCAACCAUCAAGCCCCCGGGCUUGUGUUGGGGACCUGCGGCUGCCGCAGGCCCUGAAAAGCAGUGGCGGGCUCGCUGUCACACCGAGCGUAGUAGAUUUUAUCUCGCUCUGGGCGUGCUGCGGGUUCCGGCCGUUAAACCACCCUUUUAACCCAAGGUUGACCUCGGAUCAGGUAGGAAGACCCGCUGAACUUAAGCAUAUCAAUAAGCGGAGGA
This 337-nucleotide unclassified non-coding RNA is filed under the name soil metagenome. RNAcentral describes it as "partial contains 5.8S ribosomal RNA, internal transcribed spacer 2, and large subunit ribosomal RNA". The stretch from base 1 to 120 matches the Rfam family "5.8S ribosomal RNA", at positions 35 to 154 of the family's 154-position model. The record is from RNAcentral.